CCUACGGGUGGCAGCAGUGAGGAAUAUUGGUCAAUGGGCGCGAGCCUGAACCAGCCAAGUAGCGUGAAGGAUGACUGCCCUACGGGUUGUAAACUGCUUUUAUAAAGGAAUAAAGUGAGGCACGUGUGCCUUUUUGUAUCUACUUUAUCAAUAAGGGUCGGCUAAAUUCGUGCCAGCAGCCGCGGUAAUACGGAGGAUCCGAGCGUUAUCCGGAUUUAUUGGGUUUAAAGGGAGCGUAGAUGGGUUGUUAAGUCAGUUGUGAAAGUUUGCGGCUCAACCGUAAAAUUGCAAUUGAUAUUGGCAUCCUUGAGUACAGUUGAGGUAGGCGGAAUUCGUGGUGUAGCGGUGAAAUGCUUAGAUAUCACGAAGAACUCCGAUUGCGAAGGCAGCCUACUGAACUGCCACUGACAUUGAUGCUCGAAAGUGUGGGUAUCAAACAGGAUUAGAUACCCCUGUAGUC
This 460-nucleotide ribosomal RNA is filed under the name uncultured bacterium. RNAcentral's name for it is "partial 16S ribosomal RNA". It matches the Rfam family "Bacterial small subunit ribosomal RNA", at positions 338 to 795 of the family's 1533-position model. The record is from RNAcentral.